UGGAUCUUCUCUAACUGCUACUCUUACAUAGCUUUCCAGUCAAGGAUGGUAAGGACCUCUGCGAGGGGAAGCCAGCAACCAUGUCUGCACUGAGAGCCUGCUCUUGGUGUCCCAGCUUGGGAGAUCUCCCUGAUGGGGGCCCUGGCCCCUUGCCUGGGAUGACUACCUUCAUUCCUCUGAUCAUAGCUGCCUGGCAUGCUCUCCUGCUUUUCAAGAUUAUUUUGCCUGCAAGGCGUCUCUCUAUAUUUACAUCACAUAGCAAUUUGUUCUGUCUUGUCUUGCUUCUCACCUUCUUAGGCACAGGAGGAAAGCAACUUAUUUCCUUGCUUCUUCUGACAAACACAUGCUCUCCAGAGCAGACAGAUGCCUUAAAAUCAGAUAUAGGGCAUCAGUUCAUCUUUUGGGUUCAGCUGUAGCAUAUAAAGCAUUUGCUGGCUCUGGUCUAAUGCUUUUUGACGUUGUCAGACCCUCUUCAGUUAACUUCUGCCUUGAAACCAACUUGACAGCAAGUAUUGUUCCACAUUUAUUAAUACUGUACAUGUCAUCUUCAGACUGACAUGUUUCAAAGCCAGGCAUCAGCUGUGUUCAGCUCUGGCUUGAAAAAAAAUAUGCAGACAACAGCACAGACCUCCUGCUACUAACAAGUAAAUAGAUAAAUAAUGUGAUCACAGUGCAGCCCCAAAGCCUGGGAUUCUUUUCCAUGCCCACAGUGCUGCAGUUUGGUGCACCAGCGAAUGACACUGUAAAGCUCCUGGGUCUAAGCACUCUCCUUUGCGUGUUUACCUUCAUCCUCUGCAGGAGAUUAAUGUGGUUUGUCAGUCUGAAAAACAUGUUUAUAACACCAGAAACCACUAUAACCUUGGCAGUAUGCACUGGAAUUAAACGUCAUAAAAUUCAGACAUCCAAAUUUGUCUGCUUUGGUUUUACAUGACAAGUUCUUUCACAGUAGUUCUCCUGUGCCUCCGGUGCCAUUGGCACAGUGCAGCAGUCAAGAGGUGAUACCUGAAGUACUGUUAUUAUUUAUGUCACAGGUCUUCCUAAAACAGAAUAAAAUACUACUCUGAGUGGCUGAAAUGAACAUAAUAUGUAAUCGCAGCAAGCUUUUUUCCUACUGUCAGAUGCAAGGCUGCUGAUCCUGAUUUCACCAAGAUUUGUACUUCCUGCUUCACAUUCUAUACAUUCAUUCACUGAGGUCCCUUCCAGAGCUGUUGGGUGCUCGAGCACCAUUAAUGUUUUCAGAAUUUUCUGUUCCUAGUUGAAGGGAGAAGGUGCCUGACAUUCUCAUGACAGAGUUCAAAGCAGAAUCCAAGAAUGGAUGAGGUUGGCAGGGACCUCUGGGUCCAUCUGCUCCAACCCCUAUUCCAGCAGAGACAUCCACAGAUGGGUGCCCAGGCCCACGUCCAGGCAGGUUUUGAAGAUUUCCAAGGAGGAGACUCUACGAUGUGUGCCAGAGCUCGUCACCCACACUGCACAGAAGUGCUGCCUAGCAUUCAGAGGAAACCUCCUGUGUUCUGGUUUGUGACCACCAACUCUUGUCUUGGCACUAGGCACCACUGAAAACAGCCUGGAUCCAUCUUUUUCACACCCUCCCUUCAGGCUAGUAGAUCAAAGGGGAUAAUGAAGGAUGGCUGCACACACCAGAACCCAUUCAAUGUCAGCAGCAGGAUGACUGAGAGCAAGAUGGCUGGAAGGGAAAGGGACUGGGGACUGCCACCUCUCUUCUGGCAUUGGCACACAAUGAAAUUGUCUCAGGAUGUCUCAUGGAAGCACUGUCUUAAUGCAAGUACUUGUUAGAAGGAAAAUGGAAAUCAAAGACAGAACUGGAAAACCUCUGUGUCCUGUUUGGUGUUUCUUUGGAAGGUGUGGAUAUAUGGAGACAAGCUUGAGGGAUAGGAUCUCGUAUGUCUGCAGAGGAUUUAAUGGGUGAAAGAAGUGUGUGCAUAUGCAGCAGCUGCAGCACACACUGGAGCAAGUGGAUGUAUAAUCUAUUUGGAGAUAACUGGGUAGUUCUCUCACCAGUGUAUGGGGCUGACUGCAUGCUUAGUAGCUGCAAAGUAUGUUUACAGCAAGCGUGCUAUUUUUGAAGAGUUCUGUACUUAACAAUGCAUGGCAAGAGAGCACAGCACACAGCUGCUCCUGCUAGGCUGCUUCAUGUUCUGCAACUGCAGAGCACGCUUAGUCCUGACAUCUGAAGUUUCCAGACAUGAAGCAACAACUUCAGAAAAGUCUGCUUCCUAUAGCUAUCCAAAUUCCAGAAAGCUCAGAAAAAUUUAUGAACUUUUCAAAAUCUGCCUAAAUGGGAUUUCCAGACAGAAAGAGUAAAUGUGUUUGGGAAAAAGAUGCCUGCAACUUUCAGAAAGUCCUUCUCUACCUGUAGAAACCUGAG
Gallus gallus (chicken) is the source of this 2386-nucleotide long non-coding RNA. Lineage: Eukaryota; Metazoa; Chordata; Aves; Galliformes; Phasianidae. The record is from Ensembl.